GACGAACGCUGGCGGCGUGCUUAACACGUGCAAGUCGAGCGGUAAGGCCCCUUCGGGGGUACACGAGCGGCGAACGGGUGAGUAACACGUGAGCAAUCUGCCCUUCACACGGGGAUAACUCCGGGAAACCGAAGCUAAUACCCGAUACGACCACUUCAGGCAUCUGAUGGUGGUGGAAAGUUCCGGCGGUGAAGGAUGAGCUCGCGGCCUAUCAGCUUGUUGGUGGGGGAACGGCCCACCAAGGCAACGACGGGUAGCCGGCCUGAGAGGGUGACCGUCCACACUGGGACUGAGACACGGCCCAGACUCCUACGGGAGGCAGCAGUGGGGAAUAUUGGACAAUGGGCGAAAGCCUGAUCCAGCAACGCCGCGUGAGGGAUGACGGCCUUCGGGUUGUAAACCUCUUUCAGCAGGGACGAAGCGCAAGUGACGGUACCUGCAGAAGAAGCACCGGCCAACUACGUGCCAGCCGCCGCCGCGG
This 481-nucleotide ribosomal RNA is filed under the name uncultured bacterium. Its description in RNAcentral is "partial 16S ribosomal RNA". It matches the Rfam family "Bacterial small subunit ribosomal RNA", at positions 28 to 523 of the family's 1533-position model. The record is from RNAcentral.